AUAGUCACAAAAAAAUAUCCUAUCAGCUUUGCAUCGAAGCUAAAAUCUAAAAUAUAGUAAAAUAAUUUUAAUAUGAAUAAGAAAUUUCUUCUUGAAAUUUGAUAAAAAUCAAAUUUAUUCUAACUUAAAAAGAAUUUAAGAAAAAAUACAAAAAAUUCAUUGCCAUACGCGGGUUGGAACAUUGUACCCCAAGCACGUAAAACACAAGUUUUACCGACUCGGCAACUGUACGUCGCUAACGUUGGCUGAAAAAAAAUUUCAAUUUAAGCUAGUUCAAAUUUCAAAGCUAUUUUUUUCGACUUAAAAAAUGCAAAAAAAUUUAAAUAAGUUUAACUUUCUAUACUAUAUCAAUUUGAUUUUUAUAAUAUUUAUGAAAAUCAGUGUACUCCUCUUGUCAGAUAUUUUAAAUUAAAAUAAAAUACAAAAUCCAGAAUUUUAACACAAAAAUAGCAUAUUUUUGAAUGAUGGUAGUCAUUUUCACCAUGAAGACAAGUCCAGAGGUCAAAUUUUUUUUUUUUCAAAUUAAAGUAUAUUACAUUAGCUUUAAUUUAAGAUAUAUAUAAAAGUGUCAGACCUUCCGGAACAUUUUCAAAAGUUAAGUUGAAAAAGUUAAUUUUUUGUAAAAAAAUUGUCAUUUUAAAUCCCCCCCUAUGGGCAAGUUAAGUGUCAGAUUUACAAAAAAUAUAUACCAAAUGAUAGAUAAAGACAUCAAGCAUCAAAAAAAAAAAAAAAAUUAUAUUAAUAUGUUCAUUUUUGAAAAAGUUACGGCAGUUUUUAGUAAAAAAAAUUGAAAAAAUUAGCGAUUUUUAAAUUUGAAAUUUUUUUGGAGGUUUCCCCCAUUUACGGGGAACGAGGGAAAUUUUUUCAAUUUUGAAGGGUAAUGUCUUCGACUAGAUACGAUUUGUGAUCUUUUGACGUAUCGUUGAAAGAAAUCCGUUCGGUGAGAGCUGAGAAAAAGUGGUAACAGACAGAAAAAAAAAAAAAAAAACACAUCAUAG
This is a long non-coding RNA of Daktulosphaira vitifoliae (grape phylloxera), 998 nucleotides long. RefSeq lists it as uncharacterized. The transcript is spliced from 3 exons. NCBI's taxonomy places the organism in Eukaryota, Metazoa, Arthropoda, Insecta, Hemiptera, Phylloxeridae. The record is from RefSeq and is a predicted model, not a curated record.